RNAcentral lists this unclassified non-coding RNA (542 nucleotides) under Candida albicans. RNAcentral's name for it is "sequence contains 18S rRNA gene, ITS1, 5.8S rRNA gene, ITS2, 28S rRNA gene". The stretch from base 183 to 336 matches the Rfam family "5.8S ribosomal RNA". The record is from RNAcentral. Lineage: Eukaryota; Fungi; Ascomycota; Pichiomycetes; Serinales; Debaryomycetaceae.
UCGUAACAAGGUUUCCGUAGGUGAACCUGCGGAAGGAUCAUUACUGAUUUGCUUAAUUGCACCACAUGUGUUUUUCUUUGAAACAAACUUGCUUUGGCGGUGGGCCCAGCCUGCCGCCAGAGGUCUAAACUUACAACCAAUUUUUUAUCAACUUGUCACACCAGAUUAUUACUAAUAGUCAAAACUUUCAACAACGGAUCUCUUGGUUCUCGCAUCGAUGAAGAACGCAGCGAAAUGCGAUACGUAAUAUGAAUUGCAGAUAUUCGUGAAUCAUCGAAUCUUUGAACGCACAUUGCGCCCUCUGGUAUUCCGGAGGGCAUGCCUGUUUGAGCGUCGUUUCUCCCUCAAACCGCUGGGUUUGGUGUUGAGCAAUACGACUUGGGUUUGCUUGAAAGACGGUAGUGGUAAGGCGGGAUCGCUUUGACAAUGGCUUAGGUCUAACCAAAAACAUUGCUUGCGGCGGUAACGUCCACCACGUAUAUCUUCAAACUUUGACCUCAAAUCAGGUAGGACUACCCGCUGAACUUAAGCAUAUCAAUAAG